UACGGAGGAUGCGAGCGUUAUCCGGAUUUAUUGGGUUUAAAGGGUGCGUAGGCGGAGUGUCAAGUCAGCGGUAAAAUUUCGGGGCUCAACCCCGUCGUGCCGUUGAAACUGACGCCCUUGAGUGAGUGAGAAGUAAGCGGAAUGCGUGGUGUAGCGGUGAAAUGCGUAGAUAUAUGGAGGAACACCAGUGGCGAAGGCGGCCUGCUGGACAAUAACUGACGCUGAGGCGCGAAAGCGUGGGGAGCAAACAGG
RNAcentral lists this ribosomal RNA (252 nucleotides) under uncultured bacterium. RNAcentral's name for it is "partial 16S ribosomal RNA". It matches the Rfam family "Bacterial small subunit ribosomal RNA", at positions 524 to 776 of the family's 1533-position model. The record is from RNAcentral.